RNAcentral lists this long non-coding RNA (246 nucleotides) under Vitis vinifera (wine grape). Its description in RNAcentral is "long non-coding RNA (VVIN_LNC008150)". Lineage: Eukaryota; Viridiplantae; Streptophyta; Magnoliopsida; Vitales; Vitaceae. The record is from RNAcentral.
CUCUUUCCCCACCAAGUUGGAGGUUUCUAAAUGUGUUACUAGUCAUAGUCCUUUUCAAGUAAGAUUAUGGGAUGGAAUUAUGAGAGAUUUGGAAGGUUGUGCUAAAACUAUCUCCUAAACAGUGGGAGAUGGCUGUGGGAUCAUUUUGGCAUCAUAUGUGGUGUCAUAGUCUGAAAAUUAUCAUCUAUGCAAUUUUUAAAAAUAUUAUUAUUAUUAUUAUUAUUAUUUGAUAGGUAAAUAAGCAAC